Molecule: ribosomal RNA, 301 nt
Filed under: uncultured bacterium
Lineage: Bacteria
Description: partial 16S ribosomal RNA
Rfam family: Bacterial small subunit ribosomal RNA
Source: RNAcentral
CAGUCGCCGCGGGAAUACAGAGGGUGCGAGCGUUAAUCGGAUUUACUGGGCGUAAAGCGUGCGUAGGCGGCUUCUUAAGUCGGAUGUGAAAUCCCUGAGCUUAACUUAGGAAUUGCAUUCGAUACUGGGAAGCUAGAGUAUGGGAGAGGAUGGUAGAAUUCCAGGUGUAGCGGUGAAAUGCGUAGAGAUCUGGAGGAAUACCGAUGGCGAAGGCAGCCAUCUGGCCUAAUACUGACGCUGAGGUACGAAAGCAUGGGGAGCAAACAGGAUUAGAUACUCCUGUAGUCCCUGUCUCUUAUAC